This is a long non-coding RNA of Melopsittacus undulatus (budgerigar), 2889 nucleotides long. RefSeq lists it as uncharacterized. The record is from RefSeq and is a predicted model, not a curated record. Lineage: Eukaryota; Metazoa; Chordata; Aves; Psittaciformes; Psittaculidae. The transcript has 3 exons.
AGAUUCCUGCUCUUCUCCAGCUGGAAAUUUGAAUGGUGAAGAGAGAGCACUGCCUGUGCUGAGGUGUGAGAGACUGUAGAUCCUUAAUCAGACUCCACUGUUCAUUGUCUCAAAGACUGGUCUGAGAAGCUUUGUCUCGAAGAUAGGAGGGAGGAGUUAAGACUCCAAUAUCCGUCACCUGGGAGAAGGGUGUGAGGAGCUGAACUGGCACGACACCAUCCAUUGCCUGAGAGAUGAAUGGGAAAGAGCUGACUCUUUUAUCCAUUACUUUGAGGAUUGUUGUGAGGAAUUGCUACUCAUUUUCCCAAGAAUUCCUGCAGACAUGUGUGUACAGACAUGUGCAGUUGAAGAGCUGGCUGCAAGACCAGGGAAACUGGUCCACCAGUAACAUGGAAUAUGUGGCAUGAAGAACAGAGGUACUCCUCCUAAUUCAUUAUAAAAGUGGGAAAAGGUACAUUGCCAGGGAGCUAUUGGCAUGAGGAUGACUCCAGAAGGACACCUCCGCGAGGACAGUCUCCACCGAUGACUACUAUGGACCCUGAGGGACACCCUCCAUGAGUCAUUGCCAUGAGGGCAACUCCAUGAAACACACUCUAUGGGAUACCUUCAAGGGGAUUCCAGAGGGACUCCAUGAGGACACCCACCUCUGCUCUGAUACUGACAACAAACCCUGAAGAACUCCCACCACCAAUGACAGCAACAAUGGAUUCCCAGAACACUGCUGGAUCCACAGUGUGGUUGUCUUGGCAGAGACUGCUAGCUGUAAUCACAGAUCACAGGACCACUUCAGCUAUUAAAGAAUCUCCGGAGAAUGACUAAAACACCAGAAUAAUGUACUGGGAGGAUAGUUCAUAUAACUGAAAGGUGCUCCAGAAGAGCUUCUGAAAUGUGACAGUAUAGAACAUCUGAAUGUUGAAAAGCCGUUUUACAGUUCUUUCUCCAAUGGAUGUGUUCAAGCUCAAGAUCUUGAUUCAGAUACCUCCCCCUACAGUUAUCAGGUAGCAAAAAUGAAUCCUUGCCCCUUUUUUUGUCCUGGGGGCCAGUGAAAUAAAGGCUAUGGGGUUUUUCUGGCCCAUGGGGAUGCAUUAAGUACCCGUUUGUGCUGUAUCCUCUCUUCAAGUGGGGAAUGAUUCAAACACAAGCCUUUAUGAAGACAGGACACUUAGAAGCAGUUUAAGAGAUUGCUAAUGGACAACAAACUAAGAGCUACUAACAAGCAAGCUAACAGUGAGAUAAAAUAAAAAUAAACAAAGAACUCCGAGGGUAGAUUAAAGGCUUUUCUGGUGCAGUGGACUCAAAGUCAGUAAAGAGCUCUAAUCUGAGUCACAGCAGUAGUCAUGCAGCUCUGCAGCAUGAAACACAAGGAAUCAUAGGGUAGGUGAGUCAGUACAGGGACUGAAAGCCAAAAACUGUGCACAUGCAGGUGAACACAAGUACACAUGUGGAACAAAAAACUGGAGACUUAAGGAGAAUCUGAGUUUUAAAAAUGGAAGGGAAAAGAGGGGCAGAGGGGAAGAGGAAAUGUGAGUGGUAUACCCACAUCUAUACAGGCAUCUUCUGACACCAAAACUGGUCUCCAUUCUUCUAUGCAAAUGCCAUGUUCCAGCAAACUGAAAUUAAGAAAAACAAGAUCCGUACACUAAGGAGGAAAGAAUAUGUUUUUCUCCACUCUGUUCUGUCUUCCACCUACUUUGUUUGUGUGUCCAUCUUUAAAGCAGCAGGGGACUGCUGUUUCUUUUUUGUCUCAGGGUCCCUCAAUACACAGGAGUGCCAAAUAAUCCCACACACCCUUGGAUCAGGAAUCCCUUCAGUGCAGGAAGCAGAUGUUUUUUUUUCUUUGUUUUGGGGGUUUAGGGGUUUGUUUGUUGGUGGUGGUGUUUUGUUUGUUUUUUAUUUGAACAAAGUGAAAAACAGACUGAAAAGGGAUAGAAGCAAAAAAAAACCAAACCAAAAAACAGACACAAGUUUACUUCUAAAAGCUGUUCUGGACCAGCCAGAUGAGAUCAAUUUGUCUUUUCAUUACAAAUUAACUUGAAACUUACUUUGAAUUGUAGGCAAAUAAAUAAUAAGACUGUAUGAACUUUGUAGCUUACUCCUACAUAGAAAGGGCAGGUAAGUUAGAUCACAUUUUCAUCAGUCAAAAUGAGGAAUAGCUAAAAUGUAAAGGAAGACAGUAUUGCUGCAAGAUAAAAAUUACUGCCAUAAAAAUUCUGUUUCUUUUGCAGCUGUUUCAUCCUUCAUUCAAUCCAAUGAUUUUUUUUUCUCAUUAUCUUUAGUGGCUGGCUUGUAAAACAAAACUUUCUGGGUUUGGGGUUUUUGUGCUCUUCAUAAAUAAACAAUUCUGAAUGACCAUUUCAACUGUUUUGGAGAAAGCUUGGAGUAAGCCAGCAGCUUCUUUGUUAAAUCUGUUGUGAAGCUAACAUGCAAGUGCUUCUGUAUAUCAAAUGAGAAGGACUUGAUGAAGAGACCAGUGGUCCCUUUCCUCAUGUCCUAAGUGUCAUUUUCUUUUCAGAUGCUACAGAACAGCCUCAGGAUUCUAAUCCCCAACUUUUGCACACAUUUUAUCAAUAUAUUAUUUUUUUGCUUAUGAGCAUCUAUAAUGACUUUUGUUUUGCUUCAGUGAAAGAAGCAGUGAAGUGACAAACUUCAAAACAAAGGCAUCAUUUAUAUAUGACACAUUAUAUGUUUGAAGAACUUGAAGAACUUUUUGGUUUAAAGCCAAACAUUCAGAGGUCAAGGAAGGCCAGAAUGAAAAUUGCCUGGGCAAACUUAAUCAGGCAAUACAGGCUUUCAUUACAUGAAUGCACACAAUCAUUUUUUGUUAGACUCCUAUCAUCACUUGGCUAUUGUAUUGUGCCCAUUACUGUGUACUAUGCACAACCUGGUUUU